This 510-nucleotide ribosomal RNA is filed under the name uncultured bacterium. Its description in RNAcentral is "partial 16S ribosomal RNA". It matches the Rfam family "Bacterial small subunit ribosomal RNA", at positions 28 to 507 of the family's 1533-position model. The record is from RNAcentral.
GACGAACGCUGGCGGCGUGCUUAACACAUGCAAGUCGAACGAAGAGCGACGGAAGCUUGCUUCUAUCAAUCUUAGUGGCGAACGGGUGAGUAACGCGUAAUCAACCUGCCCUUCAGAGGGGGACAACAGUUGGAAACGACUGCUAAUACCGCAUACGAUCUAACCUCGGCAUCGAGGAUAGAUGAAAGGUGGCCUCUACAUGUAAGCUAUCACUGAAGGAGGGGAUUGCGUCUGAUUAGCUAGUUGGAGGGGUAACGGCCCACCAAGGCGAUGAUCAGUAGCCGGUCUGAGAGGAUGAACGGCCACAUUGGGACUGAGACACGGCCCAGACUCCUACGGGAGGCAGCAGUGGGGAAUCUUCCGCAAGGGACGAAAGUCUGACGGAGCAACGCCGCGUGAGUGAUGACGGCCUUCGGGUUGUAAAGCUCUGUUAAUCGGGACGAAAGGCCUUCUUGCGAAUAGGGAGAAGGAUUGACGGUACCGGAAUAGAAAGCCACGGCUAACUACGUG